This 421-nucleotide ribosomal RNA is filed under the name uncultured bacterium. RNAcentral's name for it is "bacterial SSU rRNA". It matches the Rfam family "Bacterial small subunit ribosomal RNA", at positions 359 to 776 of the family's 1533-position model. The record is from RNAcentral.
GAAUAUUGGACAAUGGCCGCAAGGCUGAUCCAGCCAUCCAGCGUGCAGGAAGAAGGCCCUAUGGAUUGUAAACUGCUUUUGUCAGGGAAUAAACCUGUGGAUUUACUCCGCAGCUGAAGGUACCUGAAGAAUAAGCACCGGCUAACUCCGUGCCAGCAGCCGCGGUAAUACGGAGGGUGCGAGCGUUAUCCGGACUUACUGGGUUUAAAGGGUGCGUAGGCGGCGUAGUAAGUCAGGAGUGAAAGUUUGCGGCUCAACCGUAAAAUUGCUUUUGAUACUGCUAUGCUAGAAUUAGGAUGAGGUCAGCGGAAUGUGGCAUGUAGCGGUGAAAUGCAUAGAUAUGCCAUAGAACACCAAUUGCGAAGGCAGCUGGCUAGACCUGGAUUGACGCUGAGGCACGAAAGCGUGGGGAGCGAACAGG